Long non-coding RNA from Pollicipes pollicipes, 212 nucleotides. RefSeq lists it as uncharacterized. NCBI's taxonomy places the organism in Eukaryota, Metazoa, Arthropoda, Thecostraca, Pollicipedomorpha, Pollicipedidae. The record is from RefSeq and is a predicted model, not a curated record. The transcript is spliced from 3 exons.
GACCCAAAGACGAAAACACCGUAACGUUGGUCGAAGAAAACAUAUUUGUGGGAUCGGUGGAGUAAAUUAUACAUUUGUGGUUGGAGACUUAAGUUGUUUAAAGUCUAAGUAAUAUUCAGAAGCACAGACAGGAAACAAUGUCAAGAUAUCAGAGGGUGUCUGAGCCGCCGGCGGCGGCGGCCGCCGAGCCCAGCGUGCCGGCGCCGCCGACA